CAUGUGGAAGUUCCCAGGCCAGGGACUGAACCUAUGCCACAACUGCAACCUGAGCCACAGCAGUGAAAAUAGAGGAUUUUUAAACAGUUGAGACACAAGGGAGCUCCCAAGACUUUCUUGAGUUUAUGGUUCUCAGAGGAGCAGAGGAGAUUAUCAGCAUAUUGAACAAGUAGAUCCCUGAGAGAAAACUACAUUAGCCAAAUACUGCUUAAGUAUUUGGGAGAAGUAGGAUGGAUUUUCAGUAUAGCCUUGGGCAUAAUAGUACAGGUGUGUUGUCAGUCUUACCAAGUGAAAGCAAAAGGAUAUUGACUUUGAGUCAAUAGGCAUCCUUAAAAAACGCAUUACAUAAAUCUCUAACAGUAAAGAAGGCUCUAUCUAUAGGAAUGGAAUUAAGGAUUGUUUAUGGAUUAGGCACAAUGGAAUGACAAUAUUGUUGAUAGCUCUAAGGUCUUCAAUGAACUUCCAUUCCUGCCCAUUCGGUUUACAGGUGGAAGGAUUGGAGUGUUAUAGGGAUUAGUAUAAGGAAUAAUUAGGCCCUUGGCAAUGUGUGCCUCUGUUACAGGAUGAAUUCCUUCAAGGGCCUCUAUUCUUAGAGGAUAUUGCUUAGUAUUAGGUAGCGGUUUGGAAGCAGCCACCUGAAUUUUAAUGGAUGGAGUUGAAUGAAUAUCAUUAAAAAAUUGUGACCACAUUAGGAGACACAGAUUCUAACAACUUACUAUUGGUUUGAUUGGCUGUUACAAUACUGGAAUUCUAAAUUCCACUCAUUACGUAGAUGAAUUAUCAGAAAUGUUCCGUAUCUCAAGAUUAAUCAGAUCCUUAAGGGAAAAGGAGAUACUGGCCUUGAAUUUUUCUGAAAGAUCUCACUCUAUUAACUGUGCUGGGAAAGAAGGUCCAAGGAGAAAUUGAAGUAAUCCUUAUAAGGGGGCUAUGUCAAAGAAGAGAGACUUUCAUACUUUCAUAGAAACCCCUGAAUUUUAAUUUUUCUUACUGUAUAAGAAGAGGUAAUGAAAUUGGCAGUCUCAUUGUACAAAUGAGUCUUGUUGCAUUUGUCACUAGUCAUAGAAAUAUUUUCAUAAGUAUAAGAAAAUUUAAACCCUUACUUUAACUGUGAUUGUAUGAAAACACUAUAAACUUUUCAUCAAAGACAUAUUGCAGACUGUGUCCCAAGAAGUGCUUACAACUUACCUAAACAUGCUUGGUUUCCUUCUUUGCCCACAGUGAGAAAUAUCUCCAAUUGCUCAUCACUCUCAAUGUGGGAAUGGUAACCUCUAACCAUCAUCUAAUUUUAUGAUUCUUCCCAUUUUACAAAAGAGAAAAAAACCAAAAAGCAGAUAUCAUCCUGCAUAAGUCCAAAAGUAGACAUUUUAAUCUAUUUUUAUUAAAGGAAGAUGAGCCAGAACUAACAUUUUGAAUCUAUGACUAAUCAGACCACUUACCCACUCACCUGACCUUUCAACAGCAAAGCAAAGACAGAUACUCAUAGUCUCAUAUUCAUUCUCAGGCUCUUUAAUCUUUGCCCUCUAAACAAACCUCCUAGGGGCUACUCCAGUGAGUUUUCUAAAAAUAUAAACCAAAUCAUGUUUUUCUCUGGCUUAAAACACUCCACCUGACCAAAGUGUCAUUUGCAUGGUAUUUUAAGGCUAUUCAUAACCUGGUCUCUGCCAAUAGCCUUACCCAGGCAAGACUACCUCUUUGGAAAAUGAGCUCCUUGUGUGUAUGGUGCUGUCUUCUCAUACACCAGUUAUUAAAAUGGAUGGUUUUGAAAUUAAUAAGUGAAUAAGCAAAUGAAGGAACUCUUUAUAAGUAGUUUUGGACACUCUGGAUAACCCUUUGAGAUAUCCUUGAUGGGAUGGAGACUACAGUUGAUUUUUUUUUUUUUUUUUGGUCUUUUUGCUAUUUCUUGGGCUGUUCCUGCGGCAUAUGGAGGUUCCCAGGCUAGGGGGGAAGCCUUAAAAAUCCAAAUAAAUAAAUAAAUAAAACAGGGUUAGAUCUUCAUAAACGCAUUGUAAGAAAAUAUCAGAAGUUGAAAUUGGGUUGUGAUGAUCGUUGUACAACUAUAAAUGUAAUAAAAUCCAUUAAGUAAUUUAAAAAAUAAAUAAAUAAAAAAGAAAAUAUCAGAAGCUGAAAAUGCAUCAUAUACUGUAACCUACUAACAUCAUAGCUUGGCCUCACCUACCUUAAAUAUGCUCAGAACACUAACAUUAGUCUCCAGUUGGAAAAAUUAUCUAACACAAAGCUUGUUUUAUAACAAAGUGUUGAAUAACUUAUGUAAUUUAUUGAAUGCUAUACUGAAAGUAAGAAACAAUAUUUGGGUACAGAAGGGUUGUAAAUGUAUUGGGUGUUUACCCUUGUGAUCAUGUGGCUGACUGGAUACUGCAGGUGGCUCCGGCUGCCCAGCAACACAAAAGAAUACAGUUAGUUGGCAUAUCACCAGGCACUUCAAAAGUGACCUUUGCUAGUUACCUGUUAAAUUUGCUGGGAACACUGUAACUUGACUCUGGCUGUUCUUUGUUUUUCU
RNAcentral lists this long non-coding RNA (2518 nucleotides) under Sus scrofa (pig). RNAcentral describes it as "lncRNA (ENSSSCG00050024344.1)". The record is from RNAcentral. Lineage: Eukaryota; Metazoa; Chordata; Mammalia; Artiodactyla; Suidae.